This is a long non-coding RNA of Passer domesticus (house sparrow), 3492 nucleotides long. RefSeq lists it as uncharacterized. The record is from RefSeq and is a predicted model, not a curated record. The transcript is spliced from 2 exons. NCBI's taxonomy places the organism in Eukaryota, Metazoa, Chordata, Aves, Passeriformes, Passeridae.
GCCGGGCCGCACGCAUUGCCAAAGGACAUUGGCACUGUCCCUACUGACUGGACUCGUGUGAUUGCUGCAGAGCCUUUCUGUAGCUAGGAAUGUUUAAAAUGUGCUGACAAAGGCACCUGUGGCAGUGGUGUUGUCCAGCGCAUGAAGUGAUCACUGCUGGAAGAAUUCCAGAGAAAUCCAGGACCAGGGGUUGUGGCAACUCUUUUUGCAACUGUGCCAGUGUCUCAAUUUUCACAAACAGGAUUAUUUCAUUACCCAUAUUUGGAAUUACUCUGGAUUGGAGGGAGGCCUGGCCUUAGGUAAGGAGAAGGCUGGCCAAUUGGUGGCAACACUCUGGGCCUCUGCUUCUCACAGCAUCAAUAAAUUUGGCCAAGCCAGAAAGGCUGACGAGUUUUUCAUCAAAGUGUGAAAGUUUUACCCAAACAAUUUGGAAUAUGGCUGCAGGAUGCUGAGGGAAUUGUCACAAGCUGUCCACAGGGCCAGGCUAUGAUUGCUGGAUUGGGUCCUGGAGCCAACCCCAGUGGUUCAGGGCCCCUGCAGCUGUGGCAAACUGAUGUGACCAUCUGCGCCUCUUUGGGUUGCUUUAAACGCAUUCAUGUGACCACAGACACCUUUUCUGCCAUGGCUUGGGCCACUCCUGUGACAAGUGAAGGCUCUGGCUUUGGCAUUCCACACUGGCCAGGCUGCUUUGCUGUUAUGGGCUUGCCUCAGGAAAUCAGAACACACAACGGGGCAGGAUACACAGCCUGGCAAACCCAGGAUUUCUCAGCUCCUUGGGGAGUGAAGCAUAGCACAGGCAUUCCAGGGAACUCCACACGUCAGCUGUCAUCAAAAGGACACAUCAGGUCCUGAAAGGACUGCUUGAUAAACAAAAAAUGGGGCAGGAUGGGCUGAGCCCACAGGACAGAGUGCUGAAAGCCGUCCACGCUAUGAAUCCUCUGUGGUUAGUAGGCAAUCACAGUGAACCACCAGCAUUAACACAUUACUCAGGUUUGCAGCAAGAUUCUGAAUUGGUACAGCAUCGGCCAGAAGUUUAUUUUAAAAAUCCUAGGACAGGGUUAUGGGAAGGACCUGCAGAUUUACUGAUGUGGGGAAGGGGUUAUGUUUGUGGCAUUACAGACAAAGAACCCUGAUGGAUACCAGCAAAGUGGGUUCAUCUCUGGCUAGAAAAGGACACUCUGAUCCCUAAUACCACUAAUGAACCUACAACCAGCAACACCUGAAAACAUCCAUUGCCCUCAGAGCUGGAAAUGCUUUUGUUAUCCUUGGGUGAGAUUAGAAUGAGUGGGUGUGGAGCACACAGGUGGUGUGAGUUUGAGGGAGGAAGCUUUGCAAGGUGUGGGGUGUGCAGCUGUUGGCACAGCCAAGAAUUCAAUACCUGGGUGGUGUUAUCCCAAGUGACAGGAAGAACAGGAAAUUCCCCUGAAGCUGCUCAAGAAGCACUGAGCUUGUUUGAAAAUCAAGAGCAAUUGGGGCAGGCUAUUCAGUGGUAUCGUAGUGAACUCCAGAAGCUUGAGCAGAAAGAGAGAGAAUAAAAUCAAGGAUAUUGAGUGUGGUAAGGAAAUAUUUAUCCCUAGGACCUGGGGAGUUAGACCUGAUCAGAGGGAACAAAGAAAGAGAAGCUGGAAAGAAAGGAACCAGGAAAGAAGGAACAGAGGAAGGGCUCAAAGAGCAAGAGGCACAGUUAGUUCAGAUUUUGUCCCUGAUCUCAGAGGGGAAGGGUUCUUUACCAAUGAGCAAGAUGAAGAACAGCUUUAAAUUAGAGAGGUGGGGUUUUGGGAGAUUUUUUUCUACUGGCUGUAGUAUGUGGUAACAUCUGUAGUGCAGAGGAAAUUAACCCACCAGGAUGGCACUGACAGAAUAUGUGGCUUACUUGGGCCAAGGCUGCUGGGGUGGAUUCCUCUCGUUUAUCCUUGGCCAUGCCCGGAGAUCCCUUCCGCACAGGUCUAAUUGGUAUCCCAGUGAGUGAUUUUACUGGUUUUGCAAGGUGGGUAGGAGCUAGAGGAAAGCCAUACGUGGAAGCAAAUAGAUCAAGCAUGGAGAAUCAUUGGUGUAACAUCAGCAGAGGUGGUACAAAAUUGGACAGAUGCAAAAGGCCGGGAAUUAAGCCAAAGGGCGAAGGCUUCCAAGCAGGUAUGAUAACACACACAAUCCCUGAAUGAAACCGGACUAGAACCCCAAGAACCAGACCUGUUAGGAUCAGCUCCUGGAAAUUACUGCUUGUUUUUUAACUACUUUCUGGAAGCAAAAAUAACCAAUUUGAGCAAUGUUCUAGUCCCACAUUCCAAGAAUAAUAGUGUCAUCCUUAAUCCCAAUUCUCCAUUAUAUCAGAACAAGGCCAAAUAUUGCCACAAUUGGACUUAUCCUGGCAGUGCUGGUGCAAAUGAGACUGUAAGAAAGCUUCCACUUGGUGUCUUUUUAAUCUGUGGGGACAGAGCCUGGCCUGCAAUUCCAAGUAAUCCCUUUGGUGGAACUUGUUACCUAGGAAAAUUAAGCAUGUUUGCCCCUAGCAUGUGACAAAUGCUGAAUCAGACUAUCUGGAGAGCAGGACACAGCAGAAGAACUAAAAGAGCAGUCACAGGCUUAGGAUCUAAUUGUCAUGAUCAUGUAGAGCUUUGGGGUGCUCCAGCACGAAUCUCAGUAUCAUUCCUUGCUCCAGGUGUUGUGGCUGCUCAGGCUUUGACUACACUGAAUAAGUUGGGAUGCUGGGUAGCUAAACAACUGAACACAGCUUCAGCUGUUCUAAAUCAAAUGCUCACUGGUGUAGAUAGUAUUAGCCAUGGCACACUGCAAAAUAGAGCUGCUGUAGAUUUGUUGUUGUUAGCACAUGGGCACGGGUAUGAGGAGUUGGAAGGAAUGUGUUGUAUGAACCUCUCUGAGCAUUCUGCAUCCAUUCACAGGAAACUCAAACAACUACAGGACAACAUGAAGAGAUUGACUGUGAAUGACUGAGGGUUGGAUGAAUGUUUUAAGGGGUUGGCAAUAACUGGAUGGUUGAAAGAUAUUGUAAAGGGAAUUAUGUUAGUAUUAGUAGUCAUUACUUUAUUGCUUUGUGUUAUUCCAUGCAUAAUUAAGUUGGUGACCCCCUUAGUAGGGAACACAGUAAAGAGGGUCUGGCUGGUGCAAGAAGGGGGAACUGUAGCAAUGUAUUUGAACAACUCAGGCCUCAGUGUGCACCAGCCAUACCCUCUGCAACUGUUCUUAUCAGAAUUGUCUCAGGGCUCUGUGGAAUUCAUCAAGGUGACUGAGAUAUAAACUGUGCUAAAAUAAGCACAAAGAAGCUGAGAAACGGCACACCAGGAUGGCAGGAACUGGAUAACUGGGGACUGUGAAACACCUGCACGGUGACCAAUCACAGAGACUGAGAAAUGGAGGCAGAGAACGAGGGAACGAGACAAAGGCAGGAAGCAAGAAGUGUGAUCUUAGCAGUUUGUAGAAUCCAGAAAAGUGUGUGUAAUGUAAACAAUAAACAGCUUCUGCUUGGUCACACCG